Cavia porcellus (domestic guinea pig) is the source of this 867-nucleotide long non-coding RNA. RefSeq lists it as uncharacterized. The transcript is spliced from 2 exons. The record is from RefSeq and is a predicted model, not a curated record. NCBI's taxonomy places the organism in Eukaryota, Metazoa, Chordata, Mammalia, Rodentia, Caviidae.
UCCUGCUAGCACAUAGAUAUGUAGAGACGGUCCUCACAGCUUCUGAAGCUCACAUCCCUGGGCCACUUUGUGGAAGCCCCUGGAAACGGCCCACAGAGUCCUGUGCCGUGAGCUCCUGCCUGCAAUGCCCAUGGAUGAAAGGCGAUCCGAUCCUAGGAGGAGGGUCGGAGUCUAAGAUGUUAGGAGAAGAAGGCAGAGGGGUCAGUGUGGGUACUCUGCCCAUUACUGCUGGCCUGGAAGAUGAGAAGGAGAAGUGUCACUCAGGAAAUGCAAGCGGACUCUGCAGCCUGAGAGAGACCUGGUCAGAAGAAAUACAGCUCUCCCAGCCCCUUGGUUUCUAUGGAAUGUAACUCACUCAGAGUUGUGAACUCCACACUGUACGAGGGCAGAUUCCCAUUGUUUUAACCACUAGGUUUGUAGUGAUGGGAAAUUAAUGAGUGGUAAAUGUAAGCAGAGGGCUGGGGAGCAGCCCAGUGGUAGAGCGCCUGCCUUACAUGCCUAAGGCAGGCUGCGGAUCCCCAGUACUGCUUUAAGAAUAAGGUGCAAUGGCUGAUAAACCGUGUCAGCUUGAGAACUGAGAAAUUUAGAAGCUUAAGUAGGUGGUUCAGCAGGGGGCCAGUGCACUGCCUUUGUAAACAUCCUGAGCCCAUGCAAGAGGAGGGCAGGGGAUGAGGUGGGUCGUAGUCUGCACACGAUGUAGGGGAAGAGGACAGGCGUGCUUCCCCAUCCCUUUUGCUCUGGCUGCUUUUGAUGUCCUCUGCUGCCUUGAAGCAUUGCCCCUGUGCCACACCACCCUGCCUUGGAGUCAGCUGACUAUGAACUGAAACCUCCACAAACUGUGAGCUAAAUAAACCUUUCCUUCCUUAA